GACGAACGCUGGCGGCGUGCUUAACACAUGCAAGUCGAGCGGUAAGGCCCUUUCGGGGGUACACGAGCGGCGAACGGGUGAGUAACACGUGGGUGACCUGCCCUCAGCUCUGGGAUAAGCCUGGGAAACCGGGUCUAAUACUGGAUAUGACUCCAUGACGCAUGUUGUGGGGUGGAAAGCCUUGUGCGGCUGAGGAUGGGCCCGCGGCCUAUCAGCUUGUUGGUGGGGUGANGGCCUACCAAGGCGACGACGGGUAGCCGGCCUGAGAGGGCGACCGGCCACACUGGGACUGAGACACGGCCCAGACUCCUACGGGAGGCAGCAGUGGGGAAUCUUGCGCAAUGGGCGAAAGCCUGACGCAGCGACGCCGCGUGAGGGAUGACGGCCUCGGCGU
Molecule: ribosomal RNA, 394 nt
Filed under: uncultured bacterium
Lineage: Bacteria
Description: bacterial SSU rRNA
Rfam family: Bacterial small subunit ribosomal RNA
Source: RNAcentral